GACGAACGCUGGCGGCGUGCUUAACACAUGCAAGUCGAACGGAAAGGCCCUGCUUUUGUGGGGUGCUCGAGUGGCGAACGGGUGAGUAACACGUGAGUAACCUGCCCUUGACUUUGGGAUAACUUCAGGAAACUGGGGCUAAUACCGGAUAUGAGCUCCUGCUGCAUGGUGGGGGUUGGAAAGUUUCGGCGGUUGGGGAUGGACUCGCGGCUUAUCAGCUGGUUGGUGGGGUAGUGGCUUACCAAGGCGUUGACGGGUAGCCGGCCUGAGAGGGUGACCGGCCACAUUGGGACUGAGAUACGGCCCAGACUCCUACGGGAGGCAGCAGUGGGGAAUAUUGCACAAUGGGCGGAAGCCUGAUGCAGCAACGCCGCGUGCGGGAUGACGGCCUUCGGGUUGUAAACCGCUUUCGCCUGUGACGAAGCGUGAGUGACGGUAACGGGAAAAGAAGCACCGGCUAACUACGUG
This 468-nucleotide ribosomal RNA is filed under the name uncultured bacterium. RNAcentral describes it as "partial 16S ribosomal RNA". It matches the Rfam family "Bacterial small subunit ribosomal RNA", at positions 28 to 507 of the family's 1533-position model. The record is from RNAcentral.